GAACCUGAUGAGUUCGCCGUCGCUUGAUGCUAAUUACCCGCACGAGUGUUUUAAUCUUUUAGAUCUUGACUCUGUAGGGCAUUCCUUCAUCUCUGAGACUGCAGGCGUAUCUUCUAUAAACAGCAGUUGCAUUUCUUCGCAUGUAAAUGGCAGGUCGUAAUUUGUUGCUGUAGUUCUGCUGUUUUUCUGCAAGUUGGACGUCGGAGUUUUUUAGGAACAAAGAGUUGAAGGACUACUUGGCUUUAAAAUCCGUUGAUUUGCUGACAUGGGAGGCGAAUGGGAGAACAGGAUUUUUUGGAACCUGGUUUCACGCGCCUGUUAGAACAUUAUAAUUAAGAAACAAUACUAGGAAAAAAAAUCUGAAAUUUUUGGGUACCAAAUUGAUGGGGUUCGGCUACUCUGCAAUACAGCUAUUACUGCAUAGGUACUGUAGGAAGCCAAUCUACCAUCCAUUUUAAUCCGACGCUUCUCGGCUGCCAGACCGGCAUGGUCCCCACGUCGUCCUCUUCCCUGUGCUCGUCAAGCUCGCCCCCUCGAACUCUUCGUCCCUGGCGAGCCUAACUCGAUGCUCGUGUAUCAGCUCCUGCACCACGCCCAACCCGCUCAUCUUCGUCUAUUCGGACAACAUGUCGACAACAUCAUUAAGCUGCCCCUCCUGCGCCUCUCUCUCUCUUCGUCUGAUCGUCUCCAUGCCAGACCUAUCCUCCGCCGACGCAUUGAGGUGUGUACUCUCCGUUGUUGUCGGCGACGCCUCCUCCGACCAGUGGCUCAAUGGCCCCUACCUGAGGUCUGAGGUCUCAUCUAUCGUCUCGGAGGUCAUGGCUUACCUCUUCCGCUUCGACACAAACUCCGACGAGCCCAACUCAGGUCUGACACGGAGAUGGCGCAGGGCGACGACGACGAUGAUGCGCUGGCUCCCGUGCUGGGUGCCCCUGUUCCCUCAUACGUCGGAGAGGGCGCCCCAUGACCGGCCCCGCCACCACCCUACACGGCAGCCGAUGUACUACGUGCAAGUGCGCCCAGUCCACUACCUUGAUGCGGUUGGGCAUGGCCGUGGCCCUAUUCCUCGCCAAGUUCACCGGGAGGAGCCUCCAGCUUGUCAUUGUUGUCUGGCUUGCGGAGCUUGCCGUCGCCCUUCCGCUCGUGGAGCUCUUCGUGGAACUGCUGCUCGCAGUGAGAAAGGGUGCAGCCGUGCAGCAGCCGCGUCUCCAGUCUGCUGUCUGCUCUCGCACCAGCUGCGUCCCAUCCAUCCCUUGCAGCAUGUGAUGUUUCAUCAAGAAAAAAAAGGUCAAAAUCAAAGCUAUUAAAAACACACUGUUCCGUUAAGAAUACCAUGGGCGUCAUUUUUAAAUGAAACUUCACAUGUGAGUAGAAUGGUCACCAAGUUUGACACCCCAAAAUUUCAGUUUUCCUAUUUUUCUUACUCCCUUCGUUCCUAAAUAUUUGUUUUUUUAGAGAUUUUAAAUGGACUACCACAUAUGGAUGUAUAUAGAAUAUUUUAGAGUGUAAAUUCACUCAUUUUUGCUUCGUAUGUAGUCACUUGUUGAAAUCUCUAGAAAGACAAAUAUUUAGGAACGGAGGGAAUAGUAUUUUAUUUUAUUUUACUUUUCAUGUGGCUGCACCCAAGACCAUGUUCAUCGGUGUAUUUUCACGGCGUAGUGUAUUUGUGUAUUUUUAGUGAGCGGGAAGGCAAAUGAGGGUAUCAUGGAAAAUACAAACAAAAGCCCUCCAUUUCUAUGUGGAUGUUCGCGGACAAUUGGUUGGUGUCUAGUUAUCUAACACUAGCACAAACGCGAACCAACAGUCCAGGUGCUUCCAUUAUUUCUGAAUUUAUUUUAGGAUUUUUGGCGAUGCGCUUUCAAUGGAAGGAGACAUUUCCGUCAACGAUGAGACGCAUAAUGUGACUUCGUAAACCUCAAAAUGAUAUGCCGGCUCAGUCUCUUGAAAGUGCUCGUAGGGGUAGGAUGUGCGUGUGUGCGUUCAUAGGGGUGAAUAUAUGCGCGUAUGUAUAAGCGCUUGCAUCUGUACUGUGUUAAAAAAAAUAGUAGCACCAAGAGUCCCCUACCUAUUAACUCCGACAAUGAUUGGUGUGCAGAUAUUUUGUCAGCAGAAGCGUUGGCUCUAAAAUUUGGCUUAUUACUUGCACGGGAUGCAAUCAUUUUGUUAUUAACUCCAACAAUAUGAAAGUGAUUGACACAAUGAAAAAUGAAGGAUAUUCCGUGGCAGCGGCGGUGACAGUGUUUGAGGAUUGCUAUUUUAUGGCGUGUGAUUUUUCUCUUACUAGAUUUAAACAUCGUAAUAGGGAAGCAAAUAAGGUUGCUCUAGGUUAGUGAAAUUUUCCAUGACAAGGAAUUGGUUUGAGCCCUAUGGAUGAUAUGUAUCUUUUCUUAUUGACGACGCAACUAUAAUUUCCAAUUAAUAAAAUUGAUAUUUUUGUAUAAAAAAACAGUCCCCUACCUAUUUCUCCCUCUUUUUUGCGGAGUCAAAUUUCAUAAAUUUGCAACAAUCAAAAGCAAUUCAACCAUACAUGUAUCACUUCCAAACAGUUUAAAGAUAAAUUGCUCAUGACAAGCAAUUCAAGCUUUCCAUUACCCGGAUUCAACAAUUUCAAACAAAAGCAGCUGAACAAAUAAUUGCCCAUCACCAUUACCAAAGCGUGCAAUCAUGCCACUACACAUAUGGUGAACCCACAUUGCACCACGACGCAACGAGCAGGAGGAGCUAUCUCUCGCGUGCGCCACCUCAUCGACCUAUCAUGUCUUGGUGUUGGUGCGCCAGUCUUAGUGUUUGAGGCUCAUUGGAUUCGGCCCGAUGGCGGCACCUCAAAGAUGUUCGAUAGGGUAAGGUCCAUGGGCCGGAAGAGAUCCAUUCUGGCGGCGACAUCCAAUGGAGGUGGUGUUGUAGCAAUGGCGACAAUGUCUAAGGUGGGUUUGAUGACAACCUUGGGGUCACAGAGUGAGAAGGAGAGUUGAGGAUGGGAUGGGGAUGGGACCAGGUAGAGUUUUUGUGUGGAUGAGGAUGGAUGCACAACUAGAGUCCCCUCCAUUUGGGGCCGGGCUGGGGGAUGUCAGACCAUCGAAGCCCAAAAUGGAGGAGUCGAUGGAUGCUAAAUAUGGUUCGGACAGUCCAGUCCGAAUAAAUUGGGCGGAAUGGGUUUCUGCCUUGGAGAUAACCGUAUGUGGGCAAACUCUCAUAUAUCUCUUCAUUUGUACCUGAUAAUUCAACCGAAGAUAGGGAACUGAUACCGUGACAACUCUAAUGCUAGUUUAUAAAACUUGCAUGUAUAUCAAGAACUUUGAUUAUUAAUUUGGUCAACAAAAUAUUAGUUAUAUAUCACACAAAAUGUAUCAGUAGAUUCACGUUUCAGAAAAAAUACGGUACAAUAUUUGUGGCACAUAACUCAAAUCGUGUCGAUCAUAUCACUAAUACACAAUGGGACUAUGUGCAGACGGACUGUGUGCGAUGACAACACCGCAAACAGUAGGAAAAUAAACUUGUGCGCCCAGAAACUGAAUGUGGGCGAUCAGUUGCCCAUCGCGCACAGGCAAUAAAAGAAAACUGUGUGCGAUAUCCUGUAUGCAGUUCUACCUAAUCAAACAUGUGCGAAGUGUAUGAGUAUCUCACACAUUGUAUAAGGGAACUUGUGUGCACAUGAUAGCAAAGGGUGAUGGCAUGACGAAGCCCUUUUUGUCGAUUCUCUGUUCGGAUCCCUUCCAGAGGCUGGGGUUCUUCAAUGUGAUGGAUUCUGUGGCCUCUUUGUGUAUCAUACUCGCAUCCGAAGAUAUGGGUAAUAUAGUCGACCAGAGGCGGCUAUAAUGGAUUCCCCUAUGGUAAGAUCCUCCUGGCACGAGCGUGGUACGAGCAUGGACGUCAUCUUCUCUGGAUCCCUCUACGCGGCUGGUUUUCUUCCUGUUUACUCGUGGCUUCAUAUGGUAGGUUCUUAUCACAUAAAUUGACGUGAUCUUUUACCGCAUAUUCUUGUACUUUCCUCCUAAUGCCUCAAAACUUCUUAUGGUUGGAAUCCAUGCAAAAACAGACAAAAAGACGUGUGCAAAUACGAUAAAAUUCAGACAAAACCGACGCCUACGACAAAAAACACUAAUAAAAAGUGGUAAUAAAUAGGACACAUCACCACCACAAACCAAACUCGAAGACUCCCUAAUGAAAACCUGAAAAAAA
Molecule: long non-coding RNA, 4179 nt
Filed under: Triticum aestivum (bread wheat)
Lineage: Eukaryota; Viridiplantae; Streptophyta; Magnoliopsida; Poales; Poaceae
Description: long non-coding RNA (TAES_LNC027414)
Source: RNAcentral